AUACGGGGGGGGCAAGCGUUGUUCGGAAUUACUGGGCGUAAAGGGCUCGUAGGCGGCCAACUAAGUCGGACGUGAAAUCCCCAGGCUCAACCUGGGAACUGCGUCUGAUACUGGAUGGCUUGAAUCCGGGAGAGGGAUGCAGAAUUCCAGGUGUAGCGGUGAAAUGCGUAGAUAUCUGGAGGAAUACCGGUGGCGAAGGCGGCAUCCUGGACCGGCAUUGACGCUGAGGAGCGAAAGCCAGGGGAGCAAACGGGAUUAGAUACCCCGGUAGUCCUGGCCCUAAACGAUGAAUGCUUGGUGUAACGGGUAUCGAUCCCUGUUGUGCCGAAGCUAACGCAUUAAGCAUUCCGCCUGGGGAGUACGGUCGCAAGGCUGAA
Molecule: ribosomal RNA, 377 nt
Filed under: uncultured bacterium
Lineage: Bacteria
Description: bacterial SSU rRNA
Rfam family: Bacterial small subunit ribosomal RNA
Source: RNAcentral